ACAGUUUACAGUGCAUCUGCCACGUUGCUGUACCCAGCCUUGUCCCUAGCAGUCUGAGUCUGUGUGUCUGCCCCUUUGUAGCUAGCUCAUCCUGCCGAAGGCGACCCUGGGGCCCGUGCGCGGGGGCCGUGGCUCACGUCCAUCUGAGAUGACCCAGAUGGCAGGCAUGUUCUUGUUGCCCUCCAUCAGGCAGUGGAUCUCCUCCGCCUUGACCAUAGCCUCCAGCUCAGCGUUGGUCUCUGGACACCAGUCCACCUGGAACUUGUCCUUACACUCCCAGGGGUUAACCACCUCCUCGUCAGGCUGUACCCCAAACAGAUCCAGCUGACAUGCCUGUUCCAUGGCUUCAGAUUGAGGCUACAAAGUGUGAAGGUGAACUGAAAGCCGAGUAUCAAUGGAGCUGUGGAGGACUGAGCAUUUCCCCCAGACAAAACAGGAAACACAGAAGCUAUCUACUCUGAGCAGUACAACUCUGUAAGAGCUCACAACUGAAGAUGCACACAUACUGUACAUCACACGAACAAAAGCUUUCCCCUGAUCCGGGUUAUGAAAAGAGUAUGUUUGUACUGUUAAGUGUAAAUGCUACAUUUUCAUCCCAUUUGUAAUCUUUGUGAAAGCACAUAGGAUAGCAAUGUGUUUCAGUGGGAAUGAGAAAGCUGAAGGGAAAUAACUUGUAGAGUAUUUCCAAAUUCAUAUGACCCUAUUAUUAUUGUCUCUGAUGACGGAGUAUGAGUGGCUGUGUGGAUUAGCCAUCAUGAUGCAACACCUCCGACUGGGCUAGAACACAGGCAAGCUACUGCCAUGAUAGUGCUAAACGACACCAUUGUGGUAUUGUCUCAAUGUUAUUACCUAAGCCUUUAUUUUAAUUUGAGAUUAAAAAUAAAUGCGAAUGACAGAGCAGAAAAGUGGCUUAACAAUCUUGAUUGACAAAUCAGGUUCUGAUUUCAGAUCCUUAUCAGAUCAUUCUGAAUUAAAGAUACAUGUGAAUGGUUCACUGAGCUUAGGGGGAAAAGUAUUACAUUAUCUUGACAAUUUAUUAAUGUAGCUUCCAUGAAAACAAUGAACAAACUAAAACAUGGCACAAUGCACUGUAAUAUUAUUAUUACACUGCCUUGUCAGAGGCCAAUAAUCACUGGCAAGAG
Salvelinus namaycush (lake trout) is the source of this 1142-nucleotide long non-coding RNA. RefSeq lists it as uncharacterized. The record is from RefSeq and is a predicted model, not a curated record. NCBI's taxonomy places the organism in Eukaryota, Metazoa, Chordata, Actinopteri, Salmoniformes, Salmonidae. The transcript is spliced from 4 exons.